RNAcentral lists this ribosomal RNA (250 nucleotides) under uncultured bacterium. RNAcentral describes it as "partial 16S ribosomal RNA". It matches the Rfam family "Bacterial small subunit ribosomal RNA", at positions 524 to 773 of the family's 1533-position model. The record is from RNAcentral.
UACAGAGGGGGCUAGCGUUAUUCGGAAUUAUUGGGCGUAAAGGGCGCGUAGGCGGCUGGGCAAGUCUAAGGUGAAAUCCCUCGGCUCAACUGAGGAACUGCCUUGGAAACUGCCCGGCUUGAGGCCGGGAGAGGGUAGUGGAAUUCCCAGUGUAGCGGUGAAAUGCGUAGAUAUUGGGAGGAACACCGGUGGCGAAGGCGGCUACCUGGACCGGUUCUGACGCUGAUGCGCGAAAGCGUGGGGAGCAAAC